Molecule: ribosomal RNA, 450 nt
Filed under: uncultured bacterium
Lineage: Bacteria
Description: partial 16S ribosomal RNA
Rfam family: Bacterial small subunit ribosomal RNA
Source: RNAcentral
GUGGGGAAUUUUGGACAAUGGGCGCAAGCCUGAUCCAGCAAUGCCGCGUGCAGGAAGAAGGCCUUCGGGUUGUAAACUGCUUUUGUACGGAACGAAACGGUCCGGGUUAAUACCCUGGGCUAAUGACGGUACCGUAAGAAUAAGCACCGGCUAACUACGUGCCAGCAGCCGCGGUAAUACGUAGGGUGCAAGCGUUAAUCGGAAUUACUGGGCGUAAAGCGUGCGCAGGCGGUUUUGUAAGACAGGCGUGAAAUCCCCGGGCUCAACCUGGGAAUUGCGCUUGCGACUGCAAGGCUGGAGUGCGGCAGAGGGGGAUGGAAUUCCGCGUGUAGCAGUGAAAUGCGUAGAUAUGCGGAGGAACACCGAUGGCGAAGGCAAUCCCCUGGGCCUGCACUGACGCUCAUGCACGAAAGCGUGGGGAGCAAACAGGAUUAGAUACCCCGGUAGUCC